RNAcentral lists this transfer RNA (72 nucleotides) under Rhipicephalus microplus (southern cattle tick). RNAcentral describes it as "tRNA-Gln". It matches the Rfam family "tRNA". Rfam says of the family: Transfer RNA (tRNA) molecules are approximately 80 nucleotides in length. Lineage: Eukaryota; Metazoa; Arthropoda; Arachnida; Ixodida; Ixodidae. The record is from Rfam by way of RNAcentral.
GGUCUCAUGGUGUAAUGGUUAGCACUCUGGACUCUGAGUCCAGCGAACCGAGUUCAAAUCUCGGUGAGACCU